UUGCGGUCGUCGUAGACAAACUCGGCUUUAAUCCUCUUUCCUAAAGCAGGGCGGGAAACAAGGAUGUUUCCCGCCGGCAACCGGCCAAGGAUGGCCGAUUUGCCGGGAACCCUGCCCGCUUGCAAGAAAGGAUUAAAGCCCUAGUUUGUCACGACGACCGCGU
Desulfosporosinus sp. BRH_c37 is the source of this 163-nucleotide non-coding RNA. NCBI's taxonomy places the organism in Bacteria, Bacillati, Bacillota, Clostridia, Eubacteriales, Desulfitobacteriaceae. The record is from Rfam.